CAGUCGCCGCGGUAACACGUAGGGUGCAAGCGUUAAUCGGAAUUACUGGGCGUAAAGCGUGCGCAGGCGGUUCUAUAAGACAGAUGUGAAAUCCCCGGGCUCAACCUGGGAACUGCAUUUGUGACUGUAGAGCUGGAGUGCGGCAGAGGGGGAUGGAAUUCCGCGUGUAGCAGUGAAAUGCGUAGAUAUGCGGAGGAACACCGAUGGCGAAGGCAAUCCCCUGGGCCUGCACUGACGCUCAUGCACGAAAGCGUGGGGAGCAAACAGGAUUAGAUACCCGAGUAGUCCCUGUCUCUUAUAU
Molecule: ribosomal RNA, 301 nt
Filed under: uncultured bacterium
Lineage: Bacteria
Description: partial 16S ribosomal RNA
Rfam family: Bacterial small subunit ribosomal RNA
Source: RNAcentral